Molecule: long non-coding RNA, 221 nt
Filed under: Eucalyptus grandis
Lineage: Eukaryota; Viridiplantae; Streptophyta; Magnoliopsida; Myrtales; Myrtaceae
Description: long non-coding RNA (EGRA_LNC004220)
Source: RNAcentral
GUGUGCUUUGUUUCUCAGUUCUUCUUAUGGCUUCUCCAGCUCCCAACAGUAUGCCUGGGAGCCCCGAUACCUCGUGUACUAACCUGUACGAGGAUGCUCGCAUGGCCGCUCUGAGCAAACGCCUGGGUCAUCUUUGGUCUGAACAGCAUAUCGAAGUUUGGGAGGAUGCGCCUUCGCCUGAAGCUUUGGCUGAGUGUCGGCUCAUACUUAUGGGUAAGCUC